This 497-nucleotide ribosomal RNA is filed under the name uncultured bacterium. RNAcentral's name for it is "partial 16S ribosomal RNA". It matches the Rfam family "Bacterial small subunit ribosomal RNA", at positions 28 to 507 of the family's 1533-position model. The record is from RNAcentral.
GAUGAACGCUGGCGGCGUGCCUAAUACAUGCAAGUCGAGCGAACGGACGAGAAGCUUGCUUCUCUGAUGUUAGCGGCGGACGGGUGAGUAACACGUGGAUAACCUACCUAUAAGACUGGGAUAACUUCGGGAAACCGUAGCUAAUACCGGAUAAUAUUUUGAACCGCAUGGUUCAAAAGUGAAAGACGGUCUUGCUGUCACUUAUAGAUGGAUCCGCGCUGCAUUAGCUAGUUGGUAAGGUAACGGCUUACCAAGGCAACGAUGCAUAGCCGACCGGAGAGGGUGAUCGGCCACACGGGAACGGAGACGCGGACCAGACUCCUACGGGAGGAAGCAGUAGGGAAUCUUCCGCAAUGGGCGAAAGCCUGACGGAGCAACGCCGCGUGAGUGAUGAAGAUCUUCGGAUCGUAAAACUCUGUUAUUAGGGAAGAACAUAUGUGUAAGUAACUGUGCACAUCUUGACGGUACCUAAUCAGAAAGCCACGGCUAACUACGUG